UAAGGGAACAAAGUUAAGUGAGUC
Molecule: non-coding RNA, 24 nt
Filed under: Cricetulus griseus (Chinese hamster)
Lineage: Eukaryota; Metazoa; Chordata; Mammalia; Rodentia; Cricetidae
Source: RNAcentral